RNAcentral lists this long non-coding RNA (194 nucleotides) under Neodiprion lecontei (redheaded pine sawfly). Its description in RNAcentral is "uncharacterized LOC124295488". The record is from RNAcentral. Lineage: Eukaryota; Metazoa; Arthropoda; Insecta; Hymenoptera; Diprionidae.
AAAGGAACGCAAGGCAAUAUAACCCGAAAAUGUGCUUUUCGAGGAGAGGAAGAAGAAGGUCUGCUGUACGCGCCUGGCAUCGCUGAAUAAUCGAUCAACAGCAAAAGAGUGACAACUGCAGCACUUUUCGAUGUCACGGAAAACAGGCGUCCCAAGACCCUUAAUAACGCCGCCAUUUUGUGUAUGAUCGCAAC